Molecule: long non-coding RNA, 2348 nt
Organism: Epinephelus fuscoguttatus (brown-marbled grouper)
Lineage: Eukaryota; Metazoa; Chordata; Actinopteri; Perciformes; Serranidae
Exons: 3
Source: RefSeq, a predicted model, not a curated record
UAAAAAACAAAAGACGAAUAUCAUGAGAUCAGUGUCAUCAUCCUACGUCUAAACAAUCACCAGUGACUCUCCAGCUGCUCGGCCUAAUGUCACACAAAUGCAGCACGGAGGAGGAUGCUGUUAUUUUUGACUGAGUCAGCAUCAAUACGCCGAUGCUGUCGCCUUUCUGUGCGGAUGAGGGGAAUCCUUCGCUCUCUGCAGCUCUGUUUUACGUAAGUGGUCUUGUUAGAGCUGGUUUCACACAUCCCCUCUGUAUAAUACACAGUGAGCUGCCGCCGCCACUGCUGCUGCUGACUUCAGACUCUGCACAUUCCCAAAUAUUACAGUUCAUCAGCAGAGCAACAAGAACAUCUAUAAACAGGCUCUGACACAUUUGCACUGCUUCAGUUUGAGAGCUGUCGCUUUCUUUUGCUUUCUUAGAAGCUUGUAUGUCUGCAGGAUGUUGAUUGAAACACAAUUAAAUAUGUAGCAUUUAAUGAAGUUUGCACUUAAAAGACAUCACAAGUCAAGCAAUAAUGCACCAUGAAUUUAUACUGUAUACAUACAGUAUGUAAAACAAUCCACUUAAACACGCAGUACCUAAUUUUUUGGCCACUUUCAGGUAGUGGAAAAAAAUAGCAAACACACACCCCGUGUUCUUUGUCUUUUUACUCUCAGUGUGCACUGCUGCUGCCCUUACAAAGUACAUACUGCUGCAUGGAGUGUGCAUACAACUGGGCAUACCACUUUAUAAUAACGCUGUGCCUUGAUCUUCGAUUGUCUUGCUCUUAUAUCUGUUGCAGUAAAAUGAAACAGUAUGUAAUUUGGAAUGCAGCAGGCCUUAACGUUAUCCGUUAGCAUUACCUUGGAGAUACAACGAAACAGCAUUUGACAAGCUGGCCAGAGAUGGAGGUCAACCUAGAGAGCUCCGCUGUUUGCAAUGUAUGCAGUUUUAGCCAGUCUCUGUCUGCUAUCGAUGAGCUGUCCUCUAUCUUCAGCUCAGCUGAUUUGAUGCAUCUUCCACUACGCAGAGGAUUGUGGGAAAGAAUAGCCACAAAAAAAAAUAAAUACUGCAUUUGACAUACUAUGUAUUGGGACAUACUAAGUCUUUUUCCGGCAUGCAUUUGGUCAUUAGUCAUUUGGAAUCAUGUUUUCGGUGACCUGAUGAAUGUAGCCUGGUCAUCAGGCCGAUUAGCUAUCGGCUGUGGCUGCUGUUGGAGCUAUGCAACCACUAAACAGCACCUACAGUGUAAAAACAAAUACUAGAAUUUAAAGAUUACAUUAUUUCUAACUUCUAACACCAAGAAAUGAUGUGAUACUAUGCACAAUGAAAAAGUAAAUAAUCAAGAACCAUUGUCAAUUAUUUGAGGCUAAAUUGUAUCGAAGUGCAAGAAAGUGAAAAUUUAACAAAUAUGUUUAUUUUAUAAAUAUAUUAAAGUUAAUAAGGGAGUGACAAGUAUUUAUAGUGAAUACUAUAAUUUAUCUGCGUUUAGGGAUUGUGUAUCUUAUAUUACUCAAAGAAAUCCCUUAAGACAGUGGAUCCCAACUGGUGGGUCAUGGUCCAAAAGUGGGUUGUGGGUCCAUUCUCAAAGGACCGCAAAUGACUUGCAAAUGUGUCAAGUUUCUAAAAAACAAACUUUAUUUUUAAGUACAGUGAAUUUCUGGCACAGAGCUCUUAUUCUGAAGUGCUGUUUCCUGCUGUAGCAUGAGUGACUAACGGACAGGUUCUUGACAGAGACAGCAAACUAACUCGACGACAUGGCCAAACGCAAGUAUGACACUAAAUACAUUAAACUGUGUGGACCUUGAGGAGAAAUCUGGACCCUGAGGCUGGACCAGUUGGGAACCACUGCUAUAAUUUAUCUGUAUUUAAGUAAGUAGAUUCCAAGAAAAUCUUAUUCAGCAAAAUGAGAAAAAGUUUGAUUUUAUUUUUUAACCUCUGUCCCUUUCUUUGGUGUGUGAUGUGAAUGGCCUCCGUGAUAGCUGAGCAAACUCUACCUGCUGAUGAAGACCAUUAAAUGCAUUUGAAAUCUCCAGAAAAGCCUAGUAUGAAAGACCAGAGACCGAGCUGUCCUCAGGGGGGUUUUAUGGAAGCUGAGUGCCCGACUCAGAGGCAUCCCGCUGGGCUUACUGCCCCUUGUUUCCUCCUCACCCUGCAGCUAUGCACAUAAAGCCCUUGAUCAUCUACAGCAACAGCAGACAUGACCCGGUGACUACUAAGCACGGAUCAUCCUGUCAAACAAAACCUGUGGUUGGAAGAAUAUAGAUGGGCGGAAGGAAACUUUCAAUGACGGAGGAGCAUGUGACGUGUGAGGAACCAGCUGAUAUAAAGUGUUACUCACCUGUACAAACAAAGACAUGUGUGGCUC